UACAGAGACUGCAAGCGUUAUUCGGAUUCACUGGGCGUAAAGGGUGCGCAGGCGGUUGGGUGUGUCAGAUGUGAAAUCCCGAGGCUUAACCUCGGAACUGCGUCUGAAACUACUCGACUAGAGUACUGGAGAGGGUAACGGAAUUCACGGUGUAGCAGUGAAAUGCGUAGAUAUCGUGGGGAACACCAGAGGCGAAGGCGGUUACCUGGACAGUUACUGACGCUCAGGCACGAAAGCAUGGGGAGCAAAAGGG
RNAcentral lists this ribosomal RNA (253 nucleotides) under uncultured bacterium. RNAcentral describes it as "partial 16S ribosomal RNA". It matches the Rfam family "Bacterial small subunit ribosomal RNA", at positions 524 to 776 of the family's 1533-position model. The record is from RNAcentral.